This 348-nucleotide unclassified non-coding RNA is filed under the name soil metagenome. RNAcentral's name for it is "partial contains 5.8S ribosomal RNA, internal transcribed spacer 2, and large subunit ribosomal RNA". The stretch from base 1 to 120 matches the Rfam family "5.8S ribosomal RNA", at positions 35 to 154 of the family's 154-position model. The record is from RNAcentral.
GAUGAAGAACGUAGCAAAAUACGAUAAGUAAUGUGAAUUGCAGAAUUCAGUGAAUCAUCGAAUCUUUGAACGCACAUUGCGCCCGCUGGUAUUCCGGCGGGCAUGCCUGUUCGAGCGUCAUUUCAACCCUCAAGCCCCCGGGUUUGGUGUUGGGGAUCGGCUCUGCCCUUCUGGGCGGUGCCGCCCCCGAAAUACAUUGGCGGUCUUGCUGCAGCCUCCAUUGCGUAGUAGCUAACACCUCGCAACUGGAACGCGGCGCGGCCAUGCCGUAAAACCCCAACUUCUGAAUGUUGACCUCGGAUCAGGUAGGAAUACCCGCUGAACUUAAGCAUAUCAAUAAGCGGAGGA